UGGGGAAUAUUGGACAAUGGGCGAAAGCCUGAUCCAGCCAUGCCGCGUGUGUGAAGAAGGUCUUCGGAUUGUAAACCACUUUAAGUUGGGAGGAAGGGCAGUAAGCGAAUACCUUGCUGUUUUGACGUUACCGACAGAAUAAGCACCGGCUAACUCUGUGCCAGCAGCCGCGGUAAUACAGAGGGUGCAAGCGUUAAUCGGAAUUACUGGGCGUAAAGCGCGCGUAGGUGGUUCGUUAAGUUGAAUGUGAAAGCCCCGGGCUCAACCUUGGAACUGCAUCCGAAACUGGCGAACUUGAGUAUGGCAGAGGGUGGUGGAAUUUACUGUGUAGCGGUGAAAUGCGUAGAUAUCUGAAGGAACACCAGUGGCGAAGGCGACCUCCUGGGCUCAUACUGACACUGAGGUGCGAAAGCGUGGGGAGCAAACAGG
RNAcentral lists this ribosomal RNA (429 nucleotides) under Pseudomonadota bacterium. RNAcentral describes it as "Proteobacteria bacterium partial 16S ribosomal RNA". It matches the Rfam family "Bacterial small subunit ribosomal RNA", at positions 355 to 776 of the family's 1533-position model. The record is from RNAcentral. Lineage: Bacteria; Pseudomonadati; Pseudomonadota.